UNGAAUUUNAAUUNNGCGGCCGCGAAUUUCCCCUKYCUAACACAUGCAAGUCGAACGAAAGAUUGUAGUAAUUWCGGUCUUAGUGGCGAACGGGUGAGUAACCGCGUGGGUGACCUGCCCCGAAGUGUGGGAUACCAGUCCGAAAGGACUGCUAAUACUUGCAUAACAUCCAGGAGAUUAGAACCUGCUGGAUUAAAGGAUUUUUUCGCUUCGGGAGGGGCCUGCGUCCCAUCAGCUAGUUGGUAAGGUAAUGGCUUACCAAGGCGAUGACGGGUAGGGGACCUGAGAGGGUGACCCCCCACAAUGGAACUGAAACACGGUCCAUACACCUACGGGUGGCAGCAGUAGGGAAUAUUAGUAAUGGGCGAAAGCCUGAACUAGCAACGCCGCGUGUGCGAAGAAGGCCUUCGGGUUGUAAAGCACUUUUUGAGAGGAUGAGGAAGGACGGUACUCUCARAAUAAGUCUUCGGCUAACUACGUGCCAGCAGCCGCGGUAAUACAAGGGCGAANUUCGUUUAACCYKCANGACUAGUCCYUUWGNR
Molecule: ribosomal RNA, 542 nt
Filed under: uncultured bacterium
Lineage: Bacteria
Description: partial 16S ribosomal RNA
Rfam family: Bacterial small subunit ribosomal RNA
Source: RNAcentral